Molecule: ribosomal RNA, 253 nt
Filed under: uncultured bacterium
Lineage: Bacteria
Description: partial 16S ribosomal RNA
Rfam family: Bacterial small subunit ribosomal RNA
Source: RNAcentral
UACGUAGGGUCCGAGCGUUGUCCGGAAUUAUUGGGCGUAAAGAGCUCGUAGGCGGUUUGUCGCGCCUGCUGUGAAAUCCCGAGGCUCAACCUCGGGCCUGCAGUGGGUACGGGCAGACUGGAGUGCGGUAGGGGAGAAUGGAAUUCCUGGUGUAGCGGUGGAAUGCGUAGAUAUCUGGAGGAACACCGGUGGCGAAGGCGGCAUCCUGGACCAACACUGACGCUGAUGAGCGAAAGCCAGGGGAGCAAACGGG